GAAUUUUGCUGGAUUGAGAGGUUGUUUAAAUAUAAUAUCAAAUGUUGAACUCCAGCAAAGAUCUCGGGUCAGUGGAGACGGCUAUGAUGGUUUAUUGGACGAGAACGAGAAGCUGAAGAAGGAAAACAAGAUUCAAUCUUCGAAGCUGACCCAGUCGAAGAAACAGUGCAAUAAGCUGGUUUGAUCGGUGCACGCUACACGAAACACUGAAGAGAAAAUAAAAUUUGUUAAAGAUUUGAAAAGGCCAAAAAAUAAAUUAAUAAAUAAACAAAAUAAAAGUUUUUUUUUUUUUGGUGAUUUUAUGUAAAAUGUUGCGAAAGUAGAAGUUUGAGAAUUGUAAAAGGAACGACCCUUUGGUUUCAGAUUGUAUGGGCCUCAAGAAAUUUGGGCUUCCAAGUGAGACCGUAGUACUUCAAAGUUUUGGGUGUUUGAUUAACAAUCAAUACCUAAAAAGUGCAGCCUGCAGGUCCCCCAAAUUCGAUCCUCAAACCAUCCCGCCUGGCUUCAUUCAGGCAAUACGUCGAACACUUUCUAUACCAUAUUUGCCUCACACUCACCGCCCACCCUCAUCGUCUCUCUCUGCCCACAGACGCCUACUAAUAUUACCCAGAAAAUUCUUACUAUCAAAACAACCAGAACCCCUUUCUUGCUUGUUUUAUAGGAUUGAGAAACUGCUAAAUAUGAUGAAGUUUAGUCUGCUUUUCAGAGCUGGAGUGGGGAUGGCUUUCCCAUUCAUAGAGUUGGCAUUUUUCACGCCAUUAACACUUUCAGGGAAGCUCAAUAUGAGGUUGUAAGCUGCUUGGGAGUGGAGUAAGGAACCAAGAAACUAAAGAAUGUCACAAAAUCAUCAGGCUCUUCUUCUUAUGCAAAAGAUGGUGAAGAGCCCACCAUCGAAAGCUCUUUCACUCUUCAACUAUACUACACUUGAAGGCUUUCAACACACAAGUCAAUCCAUAUGCUUUAUUUUAUACCACCUUCUUUCCUCAAAUAUGUUCUCGCAUGCCCAGGUUCUCAUUGUAAAAAUACUAUCUGGUCGAAUCUCCUCCUCAUUCUUCACUCCCUCAUCUCUUAUCCACCAAUUAAUUCAACCCCGUCCUUGUUCAAAUGAUAUCCGUGUUUAUAUCCAUGAAACAAUUGUCAGUGCCCAUCUUCAAUGUCAAUUGCUUGAAAAAGCCAUUUUCUACUUCAAACAGAUGAUGGAUCAAGGCCUCAUGCCUGGAUCAAACACUUUUAACAAUCUAUUGGGUUCUCUUGUUAAGUCUAAUAGUUUUGAAAAGGCUUGGUGUGUUUUUAAUGAAUUUAAGGAUACAACUGAAUUAGAUGCAUAUAGUUUUGGGAUAAUGAUCAAAGGUUGUUGUGAAGCUAGCGAUUUGAAUAAAGGUUUCCAGGUUUUGGUUGAAUAUGAGAAAAUGGGUUGGCCUCCAAACAUUGUGAUACACACUACUUUGAUUGAUGGGUGUUGUAAGAAUGGCAAUAUCGAGGGGGCAAAGAAGUUGUUUUGUAAAAUGGAGAGCCUUGGUUUGGUUGCUAAUCAGUAUAGUUAUACUGUGUUGAUCAAUGGAUUUUUCAAGAAAGGCCUUAAGAAAGAUGGGUUUGAGCUCUAUGAGAAGAUGAAGCUUAGGGGGGUUUCUCCUAACAUAUACACUUAUAAUUGUCUAAUUAAUGGAUAUUGCACUGAUGGAAAAAUUAGUAGAGCUUUUGAUGUAUUUGAUGAAAUGAGAGAACAAGGUGUGGCAUGUAAUGUUGUAACAUACAAUAUUUUAGUUGGUGGAUUAUGCAAGGAAAUGAGGAUUGGGGAAGCUGAGAAGUUGAUGGAUCAACUGUACAAGACUGGUAUCAGCCCAAAUUUAGUUACAUAUAACAUGUUAAUUGAUGGGUUUUGUAAUGCUGGGAACUUGGACAAGGCUUUGAGCUUAUUUGAUCAAUUGAAGUCAAGUGGCCAAUCUCCAUCUUUAGUGACUUAUAAUAUUCUAAUCACAGGCUUUUCUAGAGCUCAAGAUUUAGCUGGAGUUGCUGACGUAGUGAGAGAGAUGGAAGAAAGAGGCAUUACUCCUUCUAAAGUGACAUAUACAAUUUUAAUUAGUGCCUUUAUUCAGUCAGAUGAUAUGGACAGAGCGUCUCAGUUAUACUCAUCCAUGGAGAAGGCUGGUUUGGUUCCUGAUGUUUACACUUAUGGUGUCUUGAUACAUGGGUUAUGCAGUAAAGGUAAUAUGAAGGAAGCCUCAAAGUAUUUUACAUUGAUGAGUGAGAAACAUUUGAAGCCAUCUGAUGUUACAUAUAACAUGAUGAUUUAUGGUUACUGUAAGGAGGGUAGCUCUUACAGAGCCCUGAGAUUGAUCAAAGAAAUGAGUGAGAAUGGAAUGAUCCCGAACAUGGCAAGCUUCUGCUCAACUAUUGGAGUUCUCUGCAAGGAUGGGAAAUGGAAUGAGGCUGAAGGUCUACUGAAAGAGAUGACAGGGUCAGGUUUAAGACCACCCGUUUCCAUCUACAAUCUGAUAUUUAAAGCCAAGAUUAGUCAUCAAUGAAGCUCCAAAGCACUCUAGUAUACUUACAGGAUAUUGAAAAGAACGUCGAGCAUACAACAAUGACAAGAAGAAACCAAUUUGUGGCUUAAAUUGGUAACUAAAGUUGCCAUUUUAAAUUCGGCAUAAAGCUAUCUCAAGGUCAAUAUUGCUGUAAUUCCUAUUGAUCAAGAACACGAGAAGAUGGAAACAUGCAUUUCAGUAAAAGAAGUGGGCAUAAAUCCAGGAUUAUAGGAAGAAGUUCCAAUCAUUGCCUUUUGAAGUAGCAUAAUUAUACUUGAAGGCUGCAAUAGUAAUUUACUGCACCUGCCAUCGCGUUGGAGCUGAAACUCAUUAUAGUUGUUAGAAAAUAAGUCAAGAUGGCACAAGUACUAUUUUCAUCCAGUUUCAGGCCGCCGAUUUCGGUCGAAGAAAGAAGUUCUCUAUUUUCUGGAAACUGGAACACCUAGAAAGAAGAAACAAACAGAGAAUUCUGAUGCUGAAACAAAGGUGAA
This is an RNA transcript of Ziziphus jujuba (common jujube), 3016 nucleotides long. It is a transcript of the gene named pentatricopeptide repeat-containing protein At4g11690, with no coding region annotated. NCBI's taxonomy places the organism in Eukaryota, Viridiplantae, Streptophyta, Magnoliopsida, Rosales, Rhamnaceae. The record is from RefSeq and is a predicted model, not a curated record. The transcript has 5 exons.